This 28-nucleotide non-coding RNA is filed under the name Mus musculus (house mouse). The record is from RNAcentral. Lineage: Eukaryota; Metazoa; Chordata; Mammalia; Rodentia; Muridae.
UGAUCUAUCAUAAGAGGUCAGGUUGUCC